This 218-nucleotide unclassified non-coding RNA is filed under the name soil metagenome. RNAcentral describes it as "partial contains 5.8S ribosomal RNA, internal transcribed spacer 2, and large subunit ribosomal RNA". The record is from RNAcentral.
AAGACUAUAGACCUGCGGAGUACCUGCGGAAGGAUCAUUACCGAGUUUACAACUCCCAAACCCAUGUGAACAUACCUAUCGUUGCUUCGGCGGGAUCGCCCCGGGCGCCUUGUGUGCCCCGGAUCCAGGCACCCGCCGGGGGACCUUAACUCUUGUUUUAUUUAGAAUCUUCUGAGUAGUUUUUACAAAUAAAUAAAAACUUUCAGCAAUGGAUCUCU